AACGCUAGCGACAGGCUUAACACAUGCAAGUCGAGGGGUAACAGGGUAGCAAUACCGCUGACGACCGGCGCACGGGUGAGUAACGCGUAUGCAACCUGCCUAUAACUGGGGAAUAGCUCCCUGAAAGGGAAUUAACACCGCAUAACACUAUUGAUUCGCAUGGAUUGGUAGUUAAAUGUAGCGAUACAGGUUAUAGAUGGGCAUGCGUGACAUUAGCUAGUUGGUGAGGUAACGGCUCACCAAGGCUACGAUGUCUAGGGGUUCUGAGAGGAAGGUCCCCCACACUGGUACUGAGACACGGACCAGACUCCUACGGGAGGCAGCAGUGAGGAAUAUUGGUCAAUGGGCGCAAGCCUGAACCAGCCAUGUCGCGUGCAGGAAGACUGCCCUAUGGGUUGUAAACUGCUUUUAUAGUAGAAGAAACACAUCUACGCGUAGAUGUCUGCCAGUAUACUAUGAAUAAGCAUCGGCUAACUCCGUG
This 481-nucleotide ribosomal RNA is filed under the name uncultured bacterium. RNAcentral describes it as "bacterial SSU rRNA". It matches the Rfam family "Bacterial small subunit ribosomal RNA", at positions 32 to 507 of the family's 1533-position model. The record is from RNAcentral.